CGACCAGCAGAAACCCAUUAUCAUCCGUGCUUUCAUCACUGCCGAACCCUGAGCUCUUCCACUGCGCCAGGCAUUACGCCAAAUACCUUUGCAAAGAGGAGCUAAGAACAGUCAGGUGCAAUCAUUGUAUCAUUAUUUCACUUUGGGCAUGACAAAACUCAGGUUUAAGUAAGUUCAAUCAUCUACAGAAGACAACACAGCUAGUAAGUGGCAGGGCCAAGUCCCAGACCCAAGUUUUUCACCAUCGCAUCACACUUCCAAGUCUGGGCUGAAAACAAGGGAUGCGGCAUCUACGUCUGAGAACGUUCCUCUCAAAGUAAUUCAGAGAAUUUGAUUUGAAGCAUGAAGGACGACCAACCUUUGGUAGCCUGUUAACAACCCGUGCAUAGGCUAUCCAGGCAGGGGGCCCCACAAAGCAGAGAGCUGGCAUAGGACAUUCCCCGCCAUCUUGGUCACCCCGUCCAGCACAAGCUGGCAGCGAUCCAGACCAAGAGCUACCGUGUGGAACUUUCCCCUUGAAGACAUAGACAUGCCACCCCUCCCCUCCCACGUGCCUACAAAGAGGUAAAACAGACACUACAUAUCCAGAAUCCUUGCUUAAAGCAUUUGGCCUCAAAGAACUCAGAACAUUAGAAAGUUUUCUACUGUAUUAGUUAGCUGUGGAUACAAUACUGCUAUGUAACAAAGGGAUCAACACAAAACUCAGUGAUAUGACAAAACGCAUCUAUUACCACAUUUACAGACCGGGGGGUGAGCUAUUUGUCUGACUUCCCAGGCCCGUUCACCAGCCCUGACUGGAGAGAAAGCAGCUAUCUGGGCACAUUCUCUUUACCAAAGAGGUCAGAUGCUACUGAAGACAAACAGGAACACGUGACACCUUAUUAUGUCAAAGCUCAGAAUUUGCACCCUGUCAAUUAUAGCCACGCUCUCCUGGCCAGAAAAGUCCGUGGUCAUGCCUAAAAUAAAUCAACGGGGCAGAAAUAUGUGUUUGCCCCACAGAUGAUAGAAUGGGGAAUACAAGGUGACCAACAAUCCAAGUUACCAUGUCCAGUCAUUUGAAAACUAGAUAAAAGCAGUUUCUGAGUCACUGUCUCCUUUGUUGAUUCUCUAUCUUCAGUGAUGCUAAUCUCACAGCUGGAAUCCCUUUCACCUCUCCUUCCCCUGGUAAGUCCUUGUUUCUCUUCUUCUAGAACCCAAAGUCACCUGGUAAGCCCCUGGUUCUCCCCUGCGAGAUCAUGCUCAAACGUCACCUGCUAAAAUUCCUGGUCCUCCUCUGUGAGAUCAUGUCACCUGCUAAGUUCCUGGUCCUCCUCUACAAGAUCACGCUCACACAUCACCCCACUUCACAAGCCUUUCCUAAACCCACCGUGUCAACUGCAUGUGGAUGCCAACACCGUGACUUGCCAUUAAGGAGACGCACCCAGAUGCACAGUUUAAGUAUUUUAGGGCACAUGAUACAACUACCAGGAUUAAUUCUCUAUUCCUGGAAUUUAACCGUGAUCACGUGAUUUGUGUCGCCCGAAGAAAUGUGUGCAAAGUGAGUGCCUCUUUCUGGCAGACACCUUUCAGAGCCAGUGGACCACCCCAUCUUCCCAUGCAGCAGUGGUGGGGCUUCCCUGGACUCAAGGUCCCCAGACAAGGACGACAGGGAGCAGGGAACCCCGGGGACCUGUGGCACAUGGGAUGCAUGACUAGAAAACAUGACUGCUAUCUCACGACAUUAAGACACGGGAUCGUCACCGCAGCAUAACCUCGGCUAUCCUGCAUGACAGUCAUUAUCAGAGUCAUAUUCCUAUCAGAAGUUCCCGAGACAUCACGACAUAACGUUAUUUCCAUGGGGGCACUGUGGACUACUAUAACACUGGUGCUCAUACAGCACUGUGAGCAUACAAAAUAGUUUGAAAUGCAGCAGUGAGCAAAGGUUUGAGGAAAAAUAUUUCAAUUUUUAAAAUUAUCACAUUUAAUAAUCACUAACAUACAAAUAUGGUCACAAAAAAUUAACACCCCCAAAUUAAAUUUUAAGCGACUUGUUAGAAACAUCACAUGAACAUUUUGGUAAAAUGUUUUUAGAUAACUAAUUUUAAAUAGAUGUGUUUUUAUGUCAGCUGAGUUUAGGUGAAAGGAUUUAUUAUCUCCAUUUCUUGUUACUUACUGUCCCUAUACUCCGUGUAAGAAGCAGAUAUCCCGUUUUAUAAUGAGCUAACUGACUUCACCUCAGCAAUUCAUUUAUGGCAAGACAGUAAAUGAAUCCAGGGUGAUAUCUAUUUGGAAAUGUUUUGGAGCUGGUAAUCCCUGGAUUCACUAUAAAAUAUACUGAUUAUUCCAAAUAAUACAAAGUGCAGGCUAAUAAACAGUUAAACAUA
Molecule: long non-coding RNA, 2363 nt
Organism: Panthera uncia (snow leopard)
Lineage: Eukaryota; Metazoa; Chordata; Mammalia; Carnivora; Felidae
Exons: 2
Source: RefSeq, a predicted model, not a curated record